GUCAUUCGAGUUUGUUGGUCUCCAAGUCCGCCCUCUGCCUUAAAAAAAAAGGAAAGAGAAGCGAGGCGUCAAAAGAAAACACAACUAUAAGAAAAUGAUUGCUUGACGCAUCGUUUCAAAUUCAUUGAGAUUUGAACCCCAAGAUAUUUGUGAGAGGAUGGCUCUCAAGUUUUGAUUUAUGGCAAGUAAGACGUCUUCCGGUUUCGAGGCUUCCAUAUACAAAAUGUUUGGUGAAGUCGCGCAAAUCUGAAAUUGUGGGUGAUCAGAAUUUAGUAUUGACUUCGAAAUAUUAUAUAAAUGUAUCCGUAAGGCAUUAAAUCUUGACUUUUCGAUAUGUUAUAUAUUUUGAAGUUACAUUUCCAGCAAAUUAAAUGGUUCAUAAUUUCGACGUUCCUACUUCAAAAUACAAAACUUUUAGCGAAUUCACGUAAAUCUGAAAUUUUCAACGUGGUGGAACCUAAAGUUGAAUUCAAAAUAUUAUCUUGGAUGAUUCUGAAGUUAUUUGAUUGAGAAUUUUGGAUAUGUUCUAGAUAUUGAAGCCUAGAUUUCAAAAAAUUAAACGGUUUGUAAUUUCAACAUUUCUACACCAAGAUAUUAAUUUCUUAGUGAGAC
Molecule: long non-coding RNA, 612 nt
Filed under: Nicotiana benthamiana
Lineage: Eukaryota; Viridiplantae; Streptophyta; Magnoliopsida; Solanales; Solanaceae
Description: long non-coding RNA (NBEN_LNC016308)
Source: RNAcentral